Molecule: long non-coding RNA, 251 nt
Filed under: Vigna radiata
Lineage: Eukaryota; Viridiplantae; Streptophyta; Magnoliopsida; Fabales; Fabaceae
Description: long non-coding RNA (VRAD_LNC001126)
Source: RNAcentral
UCCAGCUGCACCAAAACCAAAACCACUACUCUGUGCCUGCUGCUGAGGCCAUGCCAUGGCUGCAUGAAACUCAUCCAUUGUCCACCUGUGCACUGGUGACUGGUCAUAUAGCCCAAUAAUCAUCUCAGCAGUCGCAACCUGCCCUCUGUGAAGGGCCUCCAUCCUUGCUUCCAUCAUGGACAUGUACAUGUCCCUCAUCUGGAAGGGCUCCGCAUGCUGGACUGGUACCUCAGCAAGCUCCUACUCCUGCU